UCAGUCACUCACACACACUCAGUCACUCACACAAACUCACUCACAGCUUUGUCACUCUCACCUCACGCCAUUGUCACUCCUCGCCGUCGCCGUUUGCCUAUGGUUCGCCACUUUGGCCUCUCGUUACCUCUGUUCGCCUGUGAUCACAGGUAAUGUGUUCAUCAAACCCUCUAUUGCUCCCACCAACGUUAGUUCCGUCUUUGAUAUAGAUCAAACAACCAC
This 222-nucleotide long non-coding RNA is filed under the name Arachis ipaensis. RNAcentral's name for it is "long non-coding RNA (AIPA_LNC002581)". Lineage: Eukaryota; Viridiplantae; Streptophyta; Magnoliopsida; Fabales; Fabaceae. The record is from RNAcentral.